RNAcentral lists this long non-coding RNA (247 nucleotides) under Gossypium barbadense (sea-island cotton). RNAcentral describes it as "long non-coding RNA (GBAR_LNC010529)". Lineage: Eukaryota; Viridiplantae; Streptophyta; Magnoliopsida; Malvales; Malvaceae. The record is from RNAcentral.
UCCUUCAAGCUCAAAUCUGCUCAAAUAAGCUCAACUUCAACUUAACUUUGCUCAACGAGCUUGUUUCAGCUCAUUUCAUUAUUGCGUUUAUUAUGUUAGAAUAAAUCAUUUAAGUUGCUGUUAGUUUUAUUAGUUAUUUGUUUUCAUAAUUAAUUUGUCAUAAUCUGGACAUGUUUUAAUUAUGUUCUAAAUUAAGUACUUAAUUAAUUAGGACCAAUUAAAUAUGUCUUAACUGAUGUGAUCCGAC